This is a long non-coding RNA of Astyanax mexicanus (Mexican tetra), 1121 nucleotides long. RefSeq lists it as uncharacterized. The transcript has 3 exons. Lineage: Eukaryota; Metazoa; Chordata; Actinopteri; Characiformes; Acestrorhamphidae. The record is from RefSeq and is a predicted model, not a curated record.
GGAAUUUGAACAAGUUUGACUUUUGUGUCUCAUUUAUAGUAAAAAUAAAUAGAGACGGGUGGAUUUACUUCAGCUCCAGUGUUUAUUAUGUCUCUAAUGUGAAGAGGAGCUGGACUGAGAGCAGAAUCGAAUGCCAAAAUAGAGGAGCAGACCUGGUGAUCAUCAACAGCAGAGAAGAACAGGUCUUCAUUAACGUGUUGGGAAAAGGUCAGGAGGUUUGGAUUGGUCUGAGUGACGGUGAAAAAGAGGGGGUCUGGAAAUGGGUGGACGGAUCAGAACUGAUCACUGGGUUCUGGAGACCUGGAGAACCCAACGGCCUUGAAAAAGAGAACUGUCUCUUAACAAGCUAUGACUGGAUUGAUCAUGGCUGUUCUCUGCAGUAUGUUUGUAUCUGUGAAAAAGAAUAUAACGAGUAGAUGUUGAAGUUGAAUGAAUAGAAGAAGUUGAAUCUGCUGAAAACAGGAGUGUUCUAUAAAGAUUUGUUUCACUAUUCUUAAGCCUGAUUAAUCCUAGUCAUAGAUAGUUUUUUUACUUUCAGUAGAGAAUCUCAGACCAAACACUCUUCUAAUGAAUGCAUUCAGUUACUUUAAACUGCUGAUGCAGAUGUGCAAAUGAACAUAGUCAGCUUGUCUAUCCCUGUAUAUAAGGAAAUUGGUGCUAUAAAUGCACAGCUACUAAACCUAAUCAUUUAUUUCUUAUUUUACUCUAUUUUCUAAAAUAGAUCUGUAAGGCCAAUUAACCAACCACUAUUUAUAUAAACCCGCUUCAUCACUAACAUUGAGGAAGUGUGUCCAAAAUUUUGACUGGCACUGUACCAUAUGAAUAGUUGGUCAGCUACUAUGAUUUAUGGUACUUGAUUUAUUUUUUCUUUGUUCUGCCUUAAAUACAUUUUUAAUGUCAACUAAAUAAAAUAGUUUUAGAAUAUUCUUGAAGGGCUUUUACCCACUAUUUUCUUUCUGGUGCUUUUUAAUAAAGACAGUUAGCACUAGGACUGGUAAGGGGAAAGUUUCUUUUUAGAAUUUUGUUUCUCGUUCACCAGUAGAUAACUUUGUAGUGUUACAGUUUGGGAUGUUCUAUUGCUUUUUUAAACUUUUUCUUUUAGCUAAGAUGGUUAUUAAUUG